Small nucleolar RNA from Erinaceus europaeus (western European hedgehog), 65 nucleotides. The record is from Ensembl. Lineage: Eukaryota; Metazoa; Chordata; Mammalia; Eulipotyphla; Erinaceidae.
CCACACGAUGACAGACAUUUCUUCACUUUGACCUGACAGAUGGUGAAGAGACCCAUGGUAUGAGG